RNAcentral lists this long non-coding RNA (1222 nucleotides) under Homo sapiens (human). RNAcentral's name for it is "HSALNT0384474". Lineage: Eukaryota; Metazoa; Chordata; Mammalia; Primates; Hominidae. The record is from RNAcentral.
AAGAGAGCAAACAGAACAAGAGAAAGACGUUUGGGGAUGGGUCGAUUUUCUCUGCCUCAUGCGGUUUUGGUGGCUUGCAGUAAAUGAGUUUCUAAUGAUGUUUUUAUAGAGCUGUUUUUAUUUAGUGAGGCUGACACAGCUCCUGUUGCUUCUUGUGCUGUGUCCUGGGGAACCAGAUGAAAGCAGGAGGGAGAAGUCUUGAAGCUGGGGUUGCUGGUCUCCUUGUCCUUUUGGGAAGGACCCCGGCCAUUAACUCUUCGCUUUGCCACUCCCUGCAUCGAGCAUUCAAUGAGUCCGUACUACAUGCCCACAACUCUGACCUUUGAGUAUCACAGUCUUAUGUGGGAGAGAAACACAGACAGUGAUAACUCUGUGAUAAUUCUGAUACAGGGGCUAGAAAGAAAUUAUUCAGGCAGAUAGUGAGGGUAAAGGAGUCCUCAGGAAGGCUUCCCUUUUAACAAAAUGCAGCCCCCAAAUCAUUUCUUUUCUACCAAAGAGCAGCCUGAAAAAUCAAGCUGCAAAUAUGCAAGCUGGAACCUGGCAUAGGUGAAUGCCGGCAGCUGGACCAAUAGGAAAGGGCUACCUGGGAGCCAGGUGUGUUCAAUAUGGAGUCUCUAUCUCCCCUUUUCUUUGUCACCAUGUGUACAGUAAAAAAGCAGGCAGCUUCUUCACACACUAUGCAAAUGACACACCCAGUCUUAAUCAGUUCUUCGCAUGCUAUGCAAAUUGCACACCUGGUCUGACCAAUCUUUUAUGCCCUAUGUAAAUCAGAGACCACCUUCUCAGGCUUAUCUAUAAAACCUCCUGCACUUCACCACGGGGCUGGAGGACCGGCUCGGGACCCCCUCUCUCUGCAGGAGAGAGCUUUUCUCUUUCUUUCGCCUAUUAAACCUCCACUCUUAACCUCACUCCUUCUAUGUCUGUGUUCCUGAUUUCCCUGGCAUGGGAAACGUCCCCACCUUUGAGAGGAAAAGGCAAGAGAAGACUUCUUGGAGGAGGUGAUGCCUGUACUGAGUCUUGAAGAAUGAGCAGGAGAACUCAGGAAAAGAAGGCACAACAGGGCUUUGAGGCUUUGGAGCCUCAAAAGGGCUUUGAAGGGAAGGUGUGAGCAGAGAACUGCCAGAAAGCACAUUUUAGUCCAGAGACGUUCAAGUCAUUGGAUUUAAGUGGAGAAUUUCAGAGGCAAGUGAUGGGAGAUGAUAAUGACAACCCUAUUGAGAGC